Molecule: ribosomal RNA, 253 nt
Filed under: uncultured bacterium
Lineage: Bacteria
Description: partial 16S ribosomal RNA
Rfam family: Bacterial small subunit ribosomal RNA
Source: RNAcentral
GACGUAGGGCGCGAGCGUUGUCCGGAUUUAUUGGGCGUAAAGAGCUCGUAGGCGGCUUGUCGCGUCGUCCGUGAAAACCCACAGCUCAACUGUGGGCUUGCGGUCGAUACGGGCAGGCUAGAGUUCGGUAGGGGAGACUGGAAUUCCUGGUGUAGCGGUGAAAUGCGCAGAUAUCAGGAAGAACACCCGUGGCGAAGGCGGCUCUCUGGAACGCAACUGACGCUGAGACGCGAAAGCGUGGGGAGCAAACAGG